UCCCAGACUCCUACGGGAGGCAGCAGUGGGGGAUAUUGCACAAUGGGGGAAACCCUGAUGCAGCGACGCCGCGUGGGUGAAGAAGCGCCUCGGCGCGUAAAGCCCUGUCAGCAGGGAAGAAAAUGACGGUACCUGAAGAAGAAGCCCCGGCUAACUACGUGCCAGCAGCCGCGGUAAUACGUAGGGGGCAAGCGUUAUCCGGAUUUACUGGGUGUAAAGGGAGCGUAGACGGUUAUGUAAGUCUGGAGUGAAAGCCCGGGGCCCAACCCCGGGACUGCUUUGGAACCUGUGUAACUAGAGUACAGGAGGGGCAGCCGGAAUUCCUGGUGUAGCGGUGAAAUGCUUAGAUAUCACGCAGACCCCCGAUUGCGAAGGCAGCAUGCCGGCUUCCGACUGACGCUGAAGCACGAAAGCGUGGGUAUCGAACAGGAUUAGAUCCCCUUGUAGG
RNAcentral lists this ribosomal RNA (448 nucleotides) under uncultured bacterium. RNAcentral's name for it is "bacterial SSU rRNA". It matches the Rfam family "Bacterial small subunit ribosomal RNA", at positions 329 to 794 of the family's 1533-position model. The record is from RNAcentral.